GAUGAACGCUUGCGGCGUGCCUAAUACAUGCAAGUCGAGCGAACAGAUGAGGAGCUUGCUCCUCUGACGUUAGCGGCGGACGGGUGAGUAACACGUGGAUAACCUACCUAUAAGACUGGGAUAACUUCGGGAAACCGGAGCUAAUACCGGAUAAUAUAUUGAACCGCAUGGUUCAAUAGUGAAAGACGGUUUUGCUGUCACUUAUAGAUGGAUCCGCGCCGCAUUAGCUAGUUGGUAAGGUAACGGCUUACCAAGGCAACGAUGCGUAGCCGACCUGAGAGGGUGAUCGGCCACACUGGAACUGAGACACGGUCCAGACUCCUACGGGAGGCAGCAGUAGGGAAUCUUCCGCAAUGGGCGAAAGCCUGACGGAGCAACGCCGCGUGAGUGAUGAAGGUCUUCGGAUCGUAAAACUCUGUUAUUAGGGAAGAACAAAUGUGUAAGUAACUAUGCACGUCUUGACGGUACCUAAUCAGAAAGCCACGGCUAACUACGUG
Molecule: ribosomal RNA, 497 nt
Filed under: uncultured bacterium
Lineage: Bacteria
Description: partial 16S ribosomal RNA
Rfam family: Bacterial small subunit ribosomal RNA
Source: RNAcentral